RNAcentral lists this long non-coding RNA (3584 nucleotides) under Capsicum annuum. RNAcentral describes it as "long non-coding RNA (CANN_LNC002655)". Lineage: Eukaryota; Viridiplantae; Streptophyta; Magnoliopsida; Solanales; Solanaceae. The record is from RNAcentral.
AAAAUUAGGUAGGAAAUUCUGAAAUCUAGAAAUUCUAGGAUUGGGAAAUUCCAGAAAAGAAACUUAGGUUCAAGAAAAUGAAAGGAAAGAAAACUUUGGAAGAAAUAUAAGGUCUUUAGUGGAAAUUCUUUCUUGUUUUGAGAGUCCAUUGACUAAAUUCGAGUUUCAAGUUGGUGGUGAAGGAGUGUUCUGGUGGUCAUGAUCUCUAUAGCCAGUUCGUUGCUCCAUUUUGCUGCCCUUAAAGAGGUAAAUACACUCUGUUUACCUCCUAAUUUGAUCUCUUUUCUCCUUCUCCUCUUUUCUGUGUAGCUGAUGUUGUAAUCAUGAAUUUAUUUUAUUAGGAAUAGUUUGAUGUAGUCAUAGUUGUAAUGGGGUUUUGCUUAGAGCAGCCUCCAUGGCCUGAUCAAAAAUUUUAAUUGUUCUGGGUUGUUUGCUGGUAGAUGACUUUAACAACUGUAGGAAUUAGUUGAAGAUAAUUGUGUUUGCAUUGUUUUUGCUAGAGCGAGGCCCAUCCUACCAUGUCGUUCUGUUAUCUAUUCUGUCUUUCUGACUUUGCUAUUUUGAAUCCUCAUUCUUGCAUUACUGUUGUUGGUUCGUUGCUAGUCUCGUUUUCAGUAUGUUUUGCCUUUUGUAUAAUUGAUUUGUGUGCGCAAUAUUUGUCAUUGUGAGUUUGUUACCAUUGUUCCUAUAACCAAAUCUGUUUAAUCACACUAUUGUAGUUUUUUUUUAUGGCGUAUCAUUUUUUUGACUCAACCGUAAGUUCAAUAUGUUAGUCUCUCAAUGCAUGUUUCGUGUCUACCUUUUAAAAUUACUUGAAUGUUAGUUUGCAUUCUAGUCAUCACCAUAUCAUUUUUAGAUCUAAGUAUGUUAAUCUGAUUUGUUGAACCUUAGUCUUUUAGUUUGUGUUCAGGACCUUAGUGUUAUGUUGUGGGUAAUUUGUACUCUCUCGAGUUUGUCUUUUGAAUUUUUACAGUUGACAAAAAACAUCCUUUAAAGCUCCUAUUGAAAAAAAAUGUCAAUAAAGGGCAAGAGGAUAUGUUAUAUUGAUUUUAAAUCAUCCCACGACCCUUCAAGGACUCAUAUCAGCCCUCAAAGUUUUGUACAAACUUAUCGAGAGAAAAGGUGUCAUGUUGUAUCAGGAAAGUUUGUUUUUAGUGUAUCUUUGUAGGUGGGUGAAAUCUAUGUUAAAAAUUUUAAAGUAAAUGUUUGGAUUGUUUCAUUUACUCCCAUUUGAUUCUAAUCACGCACCACCAUGUUGUGAUUGUGAAUAUGUGACCCACAUAUUAUUACUUUUCAUGACUUUGAUGGAAUUUGAUCCUUGUUUCAAGAUCUGUCCAGCUAGAGUUAAUAUUUGGCGUAGUGGCAUACUAGAAGUGAUAAAGGGAAAUCUGGUGUGUGAAUUUGUUGGUACUUAAAAGGGAGGGUCUUUUUCUUUUAUGGGUCGCAACCAUGAGUAGAUAAAAAGGGACUGGAGUCUGGAUUUGAUCAUGAAUAGAAUUUGUUUUCCUUUUUCCUUAACUUGUGGUUGUUACCGCUAUUCUUUCCCUCUGAUGAUAUCAUGUUAAAGUGUAUAAGAACUAUAUCUCUAUAAUUUUAAUUUUCACGAUACUUUAAAAGUUUAAAUUUUGAACUCUGGAAUGGCUUAUAGGCAUCUUAUUGGGUUAUUUUCGAAUGUCCUAUGGCUCUAGUCAUUCACACUUGCCUGUUGUGUUAUUAUAACUAUUGUUAUGAUUGUUUUAUUCCUACUGUUCUAGCUUAGAGAGUAUACUAACUGCCUUUCAUUGAAUUAGCUGGAUCAUUUUCAUAUCAUUACUUGCUAUUGUAUGGACGUGUGAGAAUGCUCUUUUAAUGAUGUCAUUUACCUUUAAGUAUCUAUCUUUUAACACUUAUUAAUUACUUCGCCUUUCUUUUGCAUGUGGACUCUUUUUCCUUUGCAUGUUUAUUAUGUGCCAUUGAGGCCCAAUAACCCCGAGUUGAUUCCGAUGGAAAAUCUUAAGUCAGUUACAUAGCAUCUGGAUACGAAGAAUCAAAGGAAGAUGAAUGGGUUGAAAUCCCAUAUUAGAAGUGGCUAAGAGACUUAAAAGUCUCAUUUAUUUGCCUAGUUAUUCAGCAUUGCCUUUAUGCAUUCAUUUCUUUGUUUUCUUGUUUCUUUAUUUUAUUCAUUCGGGACAUGGAGCCAAAGUUGUAUUUAAUACUGGUGGAGCAAGUUUGAGCCGAAGGCUAAAAAAUAUAGAUUAGGACAGGUGGAAGACGGGUCGAAAAUCCAAUAUCUAGAUUAGGACAGGGUGACGGAUUUGGGCAUGAAGGCCCAAAUAAUUUAUUUCUUCCUCUCUUUCCCUUCCCUUAUUGUAUUUGCUUUUGUGUUUGAAUCUAGUUAGAUCCUUAGCUAAGUCGCUAAAAAAAUUUUAUUUUGCGAAAACCUUCAAAAUAUUCUUUAAUCAAAUCACUUUUCAACAAAUUGAUUUUUCAAAGUUAGUCAAAAAAGAUUUUCAAAUAGAUCGGAUAACCGUAAUUUAGCGAACAUUUUAGGAAGGAUUUAGUGAACGUUUUAGGUGCCUAACACCUUCCUAAAACGUUAAUAGGAACCCUUUAUCUAGAAUCUCUAACUUAAAAUGAUUUCCCUGUUUUGAAUCAUUUAAAAAUUUUUAUAAAGGUUUCUUAAUUCCUUUUCAAAAUUAAGUGGCUACUCUUUCAAAAAUAAAAAAUUUUCGCAAAACACUUUCUACACUUCUGCUCUUCCAACAUGAUUAUUUUUCUGCUAAUUGUUAACGGCCUCAAGUGUACAGAUUCAUUACCUUUUCAUUCCUUAUGAGGACUUGGAGUCUCCAUAAUUUUUGUUGUAAGAUUAUAAUCUUCAAAAGUUCCACCCUCUUUGUAAUUUUGAUCAUCUACAACAACCUGAGAUAUUUCCGCAAAUCCUUCAAACCCCGACAACAUAUUUCCCAUCAGCAUUGAUGGGUCAACUUGUAAUACCCCAAACUUUCUUUAAAGUCUAAUUUAGUCUCCAAAAGAUUUAGGGAUGACUUCCUAAUUGAUUAAUGUUUAAAUAAAAUAUAAUUUCCAUAAUUUUAAGUUUUUAUCAUGUGGAAAAUUGAAUUAGAUUUUAAACGAUACUAAUUUUGUGAAAAUCCGAUAUCGGGGUAAAAAGUUAUGGACGUCUUACAGAAAGCAGUUUGAACUAUCCAGGUGCAAUGGAGAGGUCUGAUGGACCGUUGAACUAGCGACAGACCGUCACCCAGACCAUUGAAGCUAAGGCAGUGAAUCAACUCUUUAUCUAAGUACGAUGGAGAGGUCUGAUAGACCAUCGAGCUAGAGAUGGACAGUCGCUCGAGUUAUUGCAGACGAGGCAGUGAACUACUAUUCUGGUCCAGGUGCGACGGUCAGUCCGAUGGACCAUCAACCUUAUGAUAGACCAUCGCACCAAUCAUCACAGAUCCCUGUCUGUAAUUCUAAGUCAUUUUUAAAAGGAAUUUUUAGUCCUUUUCCACUUUUUUUGAACACCUAUUUAAAUCAGAUCAAGGCUCAUAACUCCAUAUUCAUCUAUAACAUCAAAAGCUAGUGUUUCUUUCAAGAUCAAAAACCCA